CUACGGGUGGCUCCAGUGGGGAAUAUUGCGCAAUGCCCGCAAGGGUGACGCAGCGACGCCGCGUGGGUGAAGAAGCUCUACGGAGUGUAAAGCCCUGUCAGAGGGGACGAAAGUAUUAGUUUCGUAAGGGAUUAGGAUUGACGGUACCCUCAGAGGAAGCUCCGGCUAACUCCGUGCCAGCAGCCGCGGUAAUACGGGGGGAGCAAGCGUUGUCCGGAAUCACUGGGCGUAAAGGGCGUGUAGGCGGAUGAUCAAGUCAGAUGUAAAAGGUUAUGGCUCAACCAUAAUUAGUCAUCUGAUACUGGUUAUCUUGAGUACGAGAGAGGGUAGUGGAAUUCCUGGUGUAGCGGUGAAAUGCGUAGAUAUCAGGAAGAACACCGGAUGCGAAGGCGGCUACCUGGUUCGUAACUGACGCUGAGGCGCGAAAGCGUGGGGAGCAAACAGGAUUAGAUACCCCUGUAGUC
This 464-nucleotide ribosomal RNA is filed under the name uncultured bacterium. Its description in RNAcentral is "partial 16S ribosomal RNA". It matches the Rfam family "Bacterial small subunit ribosomal RNA", at positions 339 to 795 of the family's 1533-position model. The record is from RNAcentral.